UGUCGUUUCUCUCUGUCGGAUUCAAGAGAAGGCUAGGUCGGUAAUUUCCCCUUCUCUCGUUCUUCGUUCUUUUUCUCUGGGAUCUUCUAUCUUCCUCUUCGUUAUCCUGAAGAGCUCUAAUCACUUCCCUUUAUGUUCCAUGGAUAAAAGUAACUUUUGUAUCCUGAAAGGUUUGUCUCCUCUAUGUUACAUGGAAAACAACAGAUUCAUUUUUUGCCAUAAUUCGAAGACGAACGUUUCGUUCCAAUUCCCCAUAGAUUUGCUCCUCCAAACAAGAAGAAAACACAAUCGUAUGUUUUGUUUGAUCUCUUGGAAUGAAAUCAAAAACACAAUCCCCUUCAUAAGCUUGGAAUGAAAUCAAAAACAAGAAAACAGAAUACACUUGCUCCGUCACAAGAACAUUCAUGUUUGUUGCUUGGGCUCUAUAAAAGUAAAGGAAGGUGUGUGUUGGUCCUCUAUGCAUUUCUAAGGAUAAGAUAUAUGUACACCAACAUUUUUGGAGUGUUGAAAAAAGGAAGAUAUUUAUUUUUUAA
Solanum pennellii is the source of this 533-nucleotide long non-coding RNA. RefSeq lists it as uncharacterized. The transcript has 2 exons. The record is from RefSeq and is a predicted model, not a curated record. Lineage: Eukaryota; Viridiplantae; Streptophyta; Magnoliopsida; Solanales; Solanaceae.